GAACACUCAACAGUGACAUCAAGAGAACGCUUCAGAGGACAAGCCAAAGGACGAUGCCAUGGUCAAUUUCGUCUCCGGCAGUGGAAUUGUAAACAUACCUAUUGUGACAUCCUCCACCAAUCAAACUAUUGUGAACAGUAGUUGUCAUACGUACAUUUACUCCUAAAUCAUAAAUCCCCCAUUGGCUUGACCUGAAAACCCAUUUCAACCACCUUUUUAUGAUAAUAAAGAUGUAUGCACCCAGUCAAAAUUUGAAUCAGUCUUGAAUCAGUCCAUCCUCCAUCAACUCCGAGUGUACAAAAGCUAAGAAUCAGAAGAACAUGGUACCUGAUUAUGCGCG
Molecule: long non-coding RNA, 340 nt
Filed under: Zea mays
Lineage: Eukaryota; Viridiplantae; Streptophyta; Magnoliopsida; Poales; Poaceae
Description: long non-coding RNA (ZMAY_LNC001940)
Source: RNAcentral